GCCCGCGUGGCGGAACCGGUAGACGCAGCGGACUUAAAAUCCGCCGGCCGAAGGCUGUGCCGGUUCAAAUCCGGCCGCGGGCACCA
This 86-nucleotide transfer RNA is filed under the name Magnetococcales bacterium. RNAcentral's name for it is "tRNA-Leu". It matches the Rfam family "tRNA". Rfam says of the family: Transfer RNA (tRNA) molecules are approximately 80 nucleotides in length. Lineage: Bacteria; Pseudomonadati; Pseudomonadota; Magnetococcia; Magnetococcales. The record is from RNAcentral.